RNAcentral lists this ribosomal RNA (156 nucleotides) under uncultured bacterium. Its description in RNAcentral is "partial 16S ribosomal RNA". It matches the Rfam family "Bacterial small subunit ribosomal RNA", at positions 355 to 511 of the family's 1533-position model. The record is from RNAcentral.
UAAGGAAUAUUGCGCAAUGGGCGAAAGCCUGACGCAGCGACGCCGCGUGGGGGAUGAAGGUCUUCGGAUUGUUAACCCCAAUCCCGAUUUAAGAUGGGAUGGGGUAACCCAUUCGGACGGUACCUCCAGAAGCAGCCACGGCUAACUUCGUGCCAG